Molecule: long non-coding RNA, 2071 nt
Filed under: Sus scrofa (pig)
Lineage: Eukaryota; Metazoa; Chordata; Mammalia; Artiodactyla; Suidae
Description: lncRNA (ENSSSCG00005027102.1)
Source: RNAcentral
CUUUUAUUUUUUUCUUUUUAAUUUUAUUUUGUUUGAAGCAUGUUCAUGAUUAAAUCUGUAUGCUGGCUUAUUUGAGUGACUGCUCUCUGAUUGCGGUUUCCUCAGUCCUAGUUCUUCCUCUUCUUCUUCUUCUUCUUUUUUUUUUUCUUUUCUUUUUUCUUCCCUUUCCUUCCUUUCUUUUUGGUUUAGAGAAGCCCUUUCAAUAUUUCCUUUAACCUGGGUUUUGUGUUGCUGUAUUCUUUAAGUUUUUGUUUGUUGGGAAAAAUUUUUAUUUCCCCUUCUAUUUUAAAUGAUAUUCUUGCUGGAUAAAGUAUUCUAGGUUGCAUAUUUUUUCCUUUGAGCACUUUAAAUAUCUCUUGCCAUUCCCUCCUGGCCUGUAGUGUUUCUGUAGAGAAAUCAGCUGAUAUUCUUAUGGGGGUUCCCUUGUAGGUAACAUUCUGUUUUUCUCUUGCUGCCUUUAGGAUCCUCUCUUUAUCACUAACUUUUGCCAUUUUUAUUAUGAUGUGUCUUGGUGUGGGUCUGUUUGGGUUCAGUUUGUUUGGGGCCCUCUGUGCUUCUUGUAUCUUGAAUCCAGUAUCCUUUAGAUUUGGGAAGUUUCCAGCGAUAAUUUCUUCAAAUAUAUUUUCCAUUCCUUUAUCUUUUUCUACUCCUUCUGGAAUUCCUAUUAUGCGUAGAUUGGCCCGUUUUAUAUUAUCCCAUAGGUCUCUUAUAUUGCUUUCCAGUUUUUUGAUUCGGUUUUCUGUCUGUUGACCAGAUUGAGUGAUUUCCAUUAUUCUAUCUUCCAUAUCACUGAUUCGUUCUUCUGCAUUAUUCAUUCUGGUUUUUACUGCCCCUAGUUCAGUUUGCAUCUCUGCAAAUGAAUGUUCUAGUUUUUCUUGGCUCCUCCUUAUAUUUUCUAGCUCCUUUCUGAGGGUAUCUGCAUUGCUGUUCAUAUCUUCUCUUAAUUCCUUCAGUAUUUUCACUAUUUCUCUUUUGAACUCCAGGUCUGUCAGACUGCAGAGAUCAGUUUCAUUGUUGACUGUUUUAGGUGAGUUCUCCUGUUGGUUUGACUGGGGGUGGUUUCUCAGCUUCUUCAUCUUGCUUGUUGUUUUCUUUCCCCUGAGGGAGUUGUACUCUCCAUUAUCGGGCAGUGUUUGCGUUGUCACUGCCGUGGAAUAUUUCCUGAGGGCUGGCAUUGUUGUUCAAUCUUUUUUGUGGCAGUGUGGCUUUUCUGGAGUGUUGAUGGGGCUAACAGGGUUUCUUUGAAGCAAAGGAGGACUUCCUGAGGGCAGACAGGACUGGGAGGUCCACACCACGAUGAUAGCAGAUUUCACUUGGUCAGGCAGUGCUUGCUCUGGUGUUUUUAGGCUGUGGGGUUCUUGCAGGGGGUUGGUGUUGGGCAGCUGUUCCUCAGGAGUGCAUCACCCCCUGGGGGCUGGAGCAGCUAUCUGGGUCACUGAGAACCUAAGAGGCUCUUCCCUGGGGCAGCCCAACUCAGAAGGACAGGCUGAGAAUGUAGGCGGAUCUUUUCACGGUCCGGCCAAGCUUGUUGCAGCUUUUCUGGGCUGCAGGGGCUCCUCCAGGGGUCUGGUGGUGCUGAGCGGCUAUUCAAUGGGAGUGGGGCACCCUCUGAGGGCUUGGGUGGCUAGCAGGGCUGCUGAAAACCCAAGAGGCUCCUCCCCAGGGCAUCCCGACUCAGAAAGACUGUCUGAGAUCUUUUCACAGCUGGGUCAUGCUUGUUGCAACUUUUCUGGGCUGCAGGGGGUCCUGCCUGGAGCUGGCAGUCCUAUGCAGCUGAUCCCCUAGAGCUCAGCACCCCCUGGGGGCUUGGGCGGGUAGCAGGGCUGCUUAAAACCCAAGAGGCUCCUCCCUGGGGGAGCCCGUCUCAGAAAAACCAUCUGAGAAUUAGGCAGAUCUAUUCACGGCCUGGCUAGGCUUGUUCUAGUUUUUCUGGGCUGCAGGCCUUUUCUCGGGGGCUGGUGGUGUUUGGUGCUGCUCUGCGGAAGUGUAGCCCCUCCAAAGGGCAAGCAGGCCUGUGCAGGGACAGCCCCUGCGGUGGUAGGCUUCAGGCAAUUGUUGAGGCCAGCCCUCC